This 73-nucleotide transfer RNA is filed under the name bacterium. RNAcentral's name for it is "tRNA-Arg". It matches the Rfam family "tRNA". Rfam says of the family: Transfer RNA (tRNA) molecules are approximately 80 nucleotides in length. Their secondary structure includes four short double-helical elements and three loops (D, anti-codon, and T loops). The record is from RNAcentral.
GCCCCGGUAGCUCAACGGAUAGAGCAGCGCCCUUCUAAGGCGAAGGCUGUAGGUUCGAUUCCUACCCGGGGCA